Molecule: ribosomal RNA, 261 nt
Filed under: uncultured bacterium
Lineage: Bacteria
Description: partial 16S ribosomal RNA
Source: RNAcentral
CUGCUGCCUCCCGUAGGAGUCUGGUCCGUGUCUCAGUACCAGUGUGGGGGACCUUCCUCUCAGAACCCCUAGACAUCGUCGCCUUGGUGGGCCGUUGCCCCGCCAACUAGCUAAUGUCACGCAUGCCCAUCCGUUGCCGGAAUCGCUCCCUUUGGCCGCAGGGCCAUGCAGCCCCGCGGCGUUACGCGGUAUUAGACGGGAUUUCUCCCGAUUAUCCCCCUGCAACGGGCAGGUCGCAUACGCGUUACUCACCCGUGCCGG